GACGAACGCUGGCGGCGCGCCUAACACAUGCAAGUCGAACGAGCGAGAGGAGGUUUACUUUCUCAAGCGAGUGGCGAACGGGUGAGUAACGCGUGAGGAACCUGCCUCAAAGAGGGGGACAACAGUUGGAAACGACUGCUAAUACCGCAUAAGCCCACGACCCGGCAUCGGGUAGAGGGAAAAGGAGCAAUCCGCUUUGAGAUGGCCUCGCGUCCGAUUAGCUAGUUGGUGAGGUAAUGGCCCACCAAGGCGACGAUCGGUAGCCGGACUGAGAGGUUGAACGGCCACAUUGGGACUGAGACACGGCCCAGACUCCUACGGGAGGCAGCAGUGGGGAAAAUUGCACAAUGGGGGAAACCCUGAUGCAGCGACGCCGCGUGGAGGAAGAAGGUCUUCGGAUUGUAAACUCCUGUUGUUGAGGAAGAUAAUGACGGUACUCAACAAGGAAGUGACGGCUAACUACGU
RNAcentral lists this ribosomal RNA (465 nucleotides) under uncultured bacterium. Its description in RNAcentral is "partial 16S ribosomal RNA". It matches the Rfam family "Bacterial small subunit ribosomal RNA", at positions 28 to 506 of the family's 1533-position model. The record is from RNAcentral.